RNAcentral lists this ribosomal RNA (468 nucleotides) under uncultured Pseudomonadota bacterium. RNAcentral describes it as "bacterial SSU rRNA". It matches the Rfam family "Bacterial small subunit ribosomal RNA", at positions 8 to 522 of the family's 1533-position model. The record is from RNAcentral. Lineage: Bacteria; Pseudomonadati; Pseudomonadota.
AGAGUUUGAUCAUGGCUCAGAACGAACGCUGGCGGCAUGCCUAACACAUGCAAGUCGAACGAGGGCUUCGGCCCUAGUGGCGCACGGGUGAGUAACGCGUGGGAACCUGCCCUGUGGUACGGAAUAACUCCGGGAAACUGGAGCUAAUACCGUAUGUGUCCUGCGGGACAAAGAUUUAUCGCCAUGGGAUGGGCCCGCGUAGGAUUAGCUUGUUGGUGAGGUAACGGCUCACCAAGGCAACGAUCCUUAGCUGGUCUGAGAGGAUGAUCAGCCACACUGGGACUGAGACACGGCCCAGACUCCUACGGGAGGCAGCAGUGGGGAAUAUUGGACAAUGGGCGCAAGCCUGAUCCAGCAAUGCCGCGUGAGUGAUGAAGGCCUUCGGGUUGUAAAGCUCUUUCGCACGCGACGAUGAUGACGGUAGCGUGAGAAGAAGCCCCGGCUAACUUCGUGCCAGCAGCCGCGGUA